Molecule: unclassified non-coding RNA, 5609 nt
Filed under: Hevea brasiliensis (rubber tree)
Lineage: Eukaryota; Viridiplantae; Streptophyta; Magnoliopsida; Malpighiales; Euphorbiaceae
Source: RNAcentral
CUUUCCAAUAUGAUGACAUUUUAUUGCCAAAAAUCACAUUACAAUGUGAACGGGGAAGCAUUUUCUCCAGCCCUAGAUGACUGCAGUUGAGAAGGAAAAAUAGAACCUCUUCUCAACUAAACUUACUCCCUGUAACAACUAGUUUUUAUAAUAUUUCAAUGGUCAGAAAGACACUCUGCAAUAAAUUUAUACAACAAGGAACCUAUACUCAAAGAAGUAAAUCUGUGCUCAUUGGAGAAAUGUGGCACCUUUGACAAUCAAUACAUGAAGUGAAUGCUCCCUUCAUCCUAGUUAGAUGCACCUAAAAGAGCAGGUCCUGAUCCAUUCCCCAUAUCAAGAAAGUUGCUAGACACUGGCUCCACAUAACUAGCCUUUGAAAGGAAAAAAGGCUCCUUUUCCUGAGUCCCACCAUUAUUUUCAACAAUUCUUUCCAAAUCCUUGCCAGUCAAAAUCUCAAAUUCAAGUAACUCUUCAACAAUCUUCUCAAGAACUUGACGAUUUUUCUGAAGCAAUUCCUUUGCUUUAAGAUAUGCUAAAUCGUACAUCUUUUCAACUUUAGCUGCCAUAUCAUACUCAUGAUUGUUCCCCAUGCUUAAAGAUGUAACCUAAACCAGCAGGCAAAGAUAUUCCACACAAAAAUAUUAACAUGCAAACUCAAAGCUUAUAAUGAAUCCUUGAAGAUGACAUUGAAUAUCACAUAAAGAAUUUUGGGACAGUGGUAAGUAUUGUAUAAAUGCAAAUGAAGUCAUGUGAGGGAAACAGACACACUGAUCCUUAUUUCUGCCUCCUAAGCAUGAGCAAAAUGUGCAAAAAUUGGUGUAACAAAUUACUAGAAGACAGGAAUUGUUGCAGGCACUAACAAUAAAACUAAAAUAUAAGAAUUGAAGAAGAACGUUUUUCUUCUUUAACCAAUAUAUUCUGCACUAGAAGGAAUUGGGAAUACCGCAUUGCUACUGUAGUAAAUUGCAGGACUGUCAUCAGGCCCCCACCCAUACUGAAUCACCAUACGUGUAGCUAUCUCCUGAGCUUGUCUUAAUUCUGAAGAAGAAAGAAAAUUUUCUUCACCAAAGGGAAGUAGUAGCUGGGAUGCAACAUAUGAACCAAAACAAAAGACAAGCUUUUUCUCAAGAUAAGAUCUUGAUUCCACAUUUCCAUUCAGGGAGCCUUCAUUUCUAGCCUUACUGAUCUUAGUACAUCCAAUUCCCUGCCAAGAACAGGGCUCCAGCCAUAGAUUAUCUACAACAUCAAAGUUAGGUAAAAGAAGUGCAAUAAGACCACGGCCAGCAGCCCAAACAGCAUGUGGGAACUUGGUCUCCCUGGUCCAAUCAAGUGGAGGAUUGAGUAGGUCUAUUCCAUUGCUUAUCUGACCAUACGGCUCCAUCAGGUCAACAACAUUCUGCAGAUCCUCUUUAGUCAAUUCUAGCCCCAGAUGAUUCACCAGCAUCCUGCUCAUCUUCUUCACAAUUUGGAUUUUCCGAACCCAUUUGGGGAAUAUAGCACUGAAAGUCGCAAACCAACUGCAGUAGCUCAUAAGUUCAUCUGCAUCCACAAAUUUGCUCCUAAAGGCACUACCUUCCAGGGCAACAGGAACAAGUUUCAAUUCUAUAGGGCGUAAAAGAGAUGUCUUCUCAGCAACCUUUUUCCAGUCUACAAAAUCAAUGAGGCCUUCAUCCAUGGUUUCUUUUGCAGAACUUAAUAAAAUCUUCUCCCUUUCUGCUUGAGUUGGCUGUUGAAGAUAAAAUACUCUAUCCAUCCGACCAGGUCGUUGCAAGGCCUCAUCAAUUUGCUUCAAAUUUCUUGUUGUCGCCAUCAAAACAACUCCAUCUUGUUUCUCAAACCCAUCAAGUUCCACUAGGAGUUGAUUAAUGAAAGCCUCAUGAUCCUGCUUCUUAGUGUGAAUAAAUUUGCCACGAACACCAGCAAAAAGAUCAAAAUCCUCCACGAAGAUAAUUACAGGUGCCUAGAUAUGACAUUAUAAAGUUAGAAAAAAUGAAUGAAUCAUGUUUAAUCAAAUUCCUUUGUUUCUUUUAAGGAUUAAAAACUGAAAUCAGUGGGACUCCUUAAACAGCAAUUCAGCAGCAUUGCUUUUAUGAAUGAAAACAUAAAAACUGUCACAUUCAUUGCCAGAAGUUUACUUAACCAUUUCCACAAAUAUUAAUCAAUAAAAAUUCAAGCAUCUAUAGCAAUUAAGAAAAGUUAUAAUUAUAAAAAAAAUCAACAAAAUACAAAACAUGUUGAUGAGGACAACACAACAUAAAAUUAGCAAACACAGGAAAAUGCCAAUUAAAAAUAUAAAUAUUUGCACAAAUUUUUCAUAUUAUACAUUAUAUAAAUCACUAACACUCAUAUUCGCACGUUAUUAGUUCUUCCAAAAGUUGAAAAAACACAAUAUCAUUUAAAAAAAAUAAUAAUUUUCUGAAGACUGAAGAAUAUUACCACAUGCUGAAGAACCACAGAACCAUGAAAACAAGAAAAGUUCAUGAUAUUUUUGCAACUGAAGUUCUGUUCAGAAACACAACUACAAUAAAUGAUAGACACGUGCAAACACAGAUUUAAUAAGUGGAAACUUCCAGAAUAUUAAAAUUCAACCUACUCAGUUUGCCCUCAGAAAAAGGUUAGCCCAGCAAACAAGAAAAGCAAAACCUACUGUAAGAGAGGCGGAAGCAACAAAUAUAAAUUUCUUAAUUUCCAGUUUUUCAAAUCAUUUUUUCAUGCUAAGGUAGCAAGGUAAUGAAAGAUGAUAAGCUCCCCUGAAAUUCUUGGCUACAGGCAGUAGCAUCUCUUGGUAUCAUACCGCAUCCAAAUCCCUAGCUGUUUGAAACAGUUCCCGGACAUUUGAUGCACUUUGACCAACCCAUAGUCCAGCCUCCAACUGCUGGGCUGCAACUUUAACAACCGGAACCUUGGCUUCAGCAGCAAUAGCCAGUGCCAGAGACGUCUUUCCUGUUCCCCUUUCUCCCACGAUAAGAACUCCUCGAGGUGCACGGGCACCUAUUUCUUGAAAUGCACUGGGAUUUUGUAAAAAUGCUACAACUUCAUUGAUUUCCUCCCUCAUAGAAUCGAUACUAGCAAAGUCCUUCAACGGUAUCGGAGGAUUCUUCACCCUCUUCAUUUGAUCAAAAGCGGUUUUUAUAGGAUCAAUCCCAGCCUUUUUUUUACGUUUGAUUCUCCUUACCUUGUGAUUAAUAUAGGCUUUCACUCUUUUUAACUUCCGCAAGUUUGGAUUUCUACGUAAAGGUCCAAAACCAAGAAGUAUUGGAACUUUUCUCUUCAUAAAUCGGAAAAUAUGGAACAAAAUAUAUCCGUAGAUAGCAGUUCUAAUGACAAACCAAAAAUACCACUGUAUUUCAUCCGUUUUUCUGGACUUAAAACUCAUUUCCGCCUCAGAUUGCCAUUUCAAGUACCAUGUUGAGCCAACACUCUGCCCUAUUUCCUCCGGCCACGCCAUCCCCAACCGUAACCUUACUGGAAAAGGAAUGACGAACUCCAUUAUAGGAAACACAAUCAUCAUCAUUAUAUCAUCAUUUAUGUUUCUAAUUUUCUCUAACACCCAAUCUCUUCCAAACGAAACAAUUCUAGUCUUCCAUAUUCCAUUUAUGCAUUGGCGAGCCAGCCUCAAUGUCAAGAGAAACUGUUGAUGCAAAUUCAAUUCUGAAAAAGGGAUCCACAUCAACUGAACCACAGUAGGAAUACCCUGGGCAAGCAUUUUCACAUAUAGCCCAUCAAACCCUCCAAAUUCCUCAUAAAGCAUGUCAAAUUCCUUAAUAUCAACAUAGUAUUCCUUGCCAUCGCCCUUUAGUGCAAUAUACAUGGCACCCCAAUCAUGUCUGAUUCGAGCGUGCUCCAAUAGUUUCUUUGAGACAGCAUAUGGAACAGCAAUUGGGUCUAUUUCCCACCUGUUUUUCUGUUCAUUGUACCAAGUCUUCGAGACCACUCUAUCUCGAUCUAGAAGAAUACGUUCCUGCAUUUGGGCCACGUACUGUUUAGCAAACUCAACAUCUUCCAAUAAAUUUCUCUUUAGGUUUGCCUUUGCUUCUUCCCUCCAUUUCUUCCAUCCAUGGUAUAAAUGGAGGCGAAUAGCUUUAGGGACUACAAACUCCUUAUCUCCAAACAUCCACUUCAACUCAACUUCUGGGAAACCCUUCACAACCUCAUCUGCUGGUGUCAUUACAACCAAACGCUUUUCAUCACCAAACCUCUUCAUCUUUUUUCUUACACUAGUCUCCAGAUCAUUCUGCAGCUUCCUUGAAUCUUUAAGGCCUUGUUUUAGACUUAAAGCAAAAUCCACCAAAUCUUGGUCAAAUAGAGGUCCAAGGCCUUCAACUUCCACAACAUUAGGCAAAAUCAUCUGUUCCAAGAAUUUAAUUUGUGCUGUUUCCAGUUCUUCCUGAAUUUCAGAUCUAGAAAGCCUGGUAAUGGGGCUUUUUUGCACACUUUGCGUGCCCUUUCGCCUCAUUUCCUGGUUAAAUCUUUUCACCAACUCCUCACACUCCCUCUCAAUGAAGCAAAGCUCCCUGAUCCCAAGACUCAUUGCCAUUGUCUCCCUCCUCAAAAUUGCAUCCUCAAUCUCCCCAACUCUAUCCCACACCCGACUAUAAUCCUCCUCAAUCACUCUCAUUCUCUCCUCCAACUCCUGCAUCCUCUCUUUCUCAGCACUUCCCACCAAAUUCUCGUAUUCUCUUCUAACCUUCACCGCUUCAUCCAUGAUCUCCUCUGCACGGUUCUCCAAACUCAAUUUUUCUUUUUUCAAUUCCCCCUCUUCCGAAUACAGCCCCUCCAUUAUCUGCCCUUGUAAUCCUUCUUUCUUUGCUUUUACUGCCUUUAACGCCAAUCGCACUUCCUCCAAACUCCCGUUUCCCCUCCUAGUCUCCUCUAUACACUUCAACAACCAUGAAACCUCUUCUAACAAACUUCUAGUGUAAUCUGAAUACUCAUGGCCCUUAGAAUGCGAUUCUUCAUUCACUUCUCUCUCUUUCUUUUUGAAUGUAACUUCACUAACAACAGGAGCAACAGCCGCACGAGCUGGUAAUGCACCAACUGAAACGAACCCAACAGCAAUACAAAACAAGGCAUACACUAUAGACCUUGUAAUGAAUCGAACUAUGCUCUGUUCAGGUCUAGUAAGACACCCAAUUGAGAUAGGUGAUUGAUUUUGUUGUUCUGGGCUUGAGGGAUGCCCUAGAGACCGCUUUUUGUUGUGGUUACGGUAUUUUGAAGCUUCUAGGAAGCUGAAAACGCGAGAAUUAUGCACAAAUGGUAAGUUUCUAAUUGAAUGUUUGUGGGAUUGGGAGGUAAGGUUUGUGAUUCUAAUUUUAUGUCUGGUUGGUGAUGAAGUGUUCCUGAAUGGUGGAUGGAACUUAGAGAAAGAGGGAGUGGAAAUGGAAGCCAUGAGAAUCAAUGAACUAGUGUGCUCUGGGUCAUUUUUCGGGUGAUAAUUUGUGGGCAAGAAGUCUCAGGUGAAGUAAGCAAGUGAGCAGGCCUGCAACAUCAAGAGCGCGUUGGGGGAGGGCUUAGGAAAAAUGGAAGAUAGAGGGGAAAAUGCCAUCCGGUCCCCGGGUUUAAGCAACGUCCCGGUUCGAUCCGGGGUUGUGUAUGGAGUGCUUUAAAAC